RNAcentral lists this ribosomal RNA (492 nucleotides) under uncultured bacterium. RNAcentral describes it as "partial 16S ribosomal RNA". The record is from RNAcentral.
AACGCGAAGAACCUUACCAGGGUGAGGAUCCCCGCCUGCUGCGCGACCAGCGCACAGUUCUCGGCCGGCUCGAUACCAAGUACGGGAACGUUCUUCUGCUUGAAGUAUUGCAGCAGAUAUCCAUCGUUGCUUCCGAUUUCCACCACCAAGCUGGCUGGGCCGUAACCGAAUCGCCCAAUCAUACGAUCGGCGUAGGAACGGGCGUGAUCCAGCCAAGACUGGGAAUAGGAUGAGAAAUAAGCGUAGUCCUCGGCAAAGAUGUGCUGGGGGGUUUCGAUUUCCUGCAGUUGCACCAGAAAGCAAGAGUUGCAUACGUAUGCAUGUAGCGGAUAGUGCGGCUCCAUCUGCUGCAACUGUUCUACGGUGAGAAACGCAUUCGAGAGCGGAGACAUCCCGAGGUCACAGAAGGUAUGUUCGAGUUGAGCCCCGCAGAAUCGGCACGGUCCGGCCGUCAUCGCGACAAUCCGUCUUGGAAACGCGCAAUCUGCUCUU